This 216-nucleotide ribosomal RNA is filed under the name Glomeromycotina sp. Its description in RNAcentral is "partial small subunit ribosomal RNA". The stretch from base 87 to 216 matches the Rfam family "Eukaryotic small subunit ribosomal RNA", at positions 733 to 864 of the family's 1831-position model. The record is from RNAcentral. Lineage: Eukaryota; Fungi; Glomeromycota.
GGGUCAGUAGGUUGGUCGUGCCACCGGUACGUACUGGUCUCACUGAUUCCUCCUUCCUGAAGAACCGUAAUGCCACUAAUUUGGUGUUGCGGGGAAACAGGACUGUUACUUUGGAAAAAUUAGAGUGUUUAAAGCAAGCUAACGCUUGAAUACAUUAGCAUGGAAUAAUGAAAUAGGACGAUCGAUCCUAUUUUGUUGGUUUCUGGGAUUGACGUA